UACGAAGGGGGCUAGCGUUGUUCGGAAUUACUGGGCGUAAAGCGCGUGUAGGCGGGUCUUUAAGUCAGGGGUGAAAUGCCAAGGCUCAACCUUGGAACUGCCUUUGAUACUGGAGAUCUUGAGUCCGGGAGAGGUGAGUGGAACUGCGAGUGUAGAGGUGAAAUUCGUAGAUAUUCGCAAGAACACCAGUGGCGAAGGCGGCUCACUGGCCCGGAACUGACGCUGAGACGCGAAAGCGUGGGGAGCGAACAGG
This 253-nucleotide ribosomal RNA is filed under the name uncultured bacterium. Its description in RNAcentral is "partial 16S ribosomal RNA". It matches the Rfam family "Bacterial small subunit ribosomal RNA", at positions 524 to 776 of the family's 1533-position model. The record is from RNAcentral.